ACUCAAAUGAAUUGACGGGGGCUCACACAAGCGGUGGAGCAUGUGGCUUAAUUCGAGGCUACGCGCAAAACCUUAUCCCGGGCUUGACAUGCACGGAUUAGCCGGCGGAAACGUCGGUGAGCCCGCAAGGGACAACGUGCACAGGUGCUGCAUGGCUGUCGUCAGCUCGUGCCGUGAGGUGUUGGGUUAAGUCCCGUAACGAGCGAAACCCCUGCGUCUAGUUGCCAGCACGUCAUGGUGGGCACUCUAGACGGACCGCCGGCGUCAAGCCGGAGGAAGGCGGGGAUGACGUCAAGUCCUCAUGGCCCUUAUGCCCGGGGCUGCACACGUGCUACAAUGGGCCGUAACAAAGCGAUGCCAGACCGCAAGGUGGAGCAAAUCGCAAAAACCGGCCCCCAGUUCGGAUUGUGGGCUGCAACCCGCCCACAUGAAGCCGGAAUCGCUAGUAAUCGCGGAUCAGCACUGCCGCGGUGAAUGGGUUCCUGAGCCUUGUACACACCGCCCGU
Molecule: ribosomal RNA, 506 nt
Filed under: uncultured bacterium
Lineage: Bacteria
Description: partial 16S ribosomal RNA
Rfam family: Bacterial small subunit ribosomal RNA
Source: RNAcentral